Molecule: ribosomal RNA, 443 nt
Filed under: uncultured bacterium
Lineage: Bacteria
Description: partial 16S ribosomal RNA
Rfam family: Bacterial small subunit ribosomal RNA
Source: RNAcentral
CCUACGGGAGUCAGCAGUGGGGAAUAUUGGACAAUGGGCGAAACCCUGACCCAGCGACGCCGCGUGAGGGAAGAAGGAUUUCGGGAUGUAAACUUCUAUUCUGAGGGACGAUGAAAGUGACAGUAGCUCAAGAAUAAGCCACGGCUAACUACGUGCCAGCAGCCGCGGUACUACGUAGGUGGCAAGCUUUAUCCGGAUUUAUUGGGUGUAAAGGGCGUGUAGGCGGGAAAGCAAGUCUGAUGUGAAAACCCAGGGCUUAACCCUGGGCCUGCAUUGGAAACUGUUUGUCUUGAGUGCUGGAGAGGUAAUCGGAAUUCCGGGUGUAGCGGUGAAAUGCGUAGAUAUAAGGAGGAACACCAGUGGCGAAGGCGGAUUGCUGGACUGUAACUGACGUUGAGGCGCGAAAGCGUGGGGAGCAAACAGGAUUAGAUACCCUUGUAGUC